GCCCCCGCGCUCCUCGCGGCUGCGGUUGCUGUGGAGGUAGUAGCGGGCUGCCGCCGCUACCGUCGUGACGUCACGGGUGCCUUGGGCGCUGCUGCGGUGGUUGUGGGGUGGUAGUAGCAGCAUCCUGCAGUAAGUCUACUACUGCUUCCACAGCUAACGAGAGCUGCAUCCGAGACGCCCUUGACGUCACUGCUGUAGUGGUGGCAGUCUGCUACUACAUCCACAGCUACCGCAGCGUAGAAUCAGGUGGUAAGCAUCAAGUCCAGGCCCAGGCACAUCCCUUUGGACAAGAACCAGCAUCACUUCUUAUUUUACUUCAACUGUACCAUACAAACGAAAUAAAUAGCAACAUUACUGUCA
This is a long non-coding RNA of Frankliniella occidentalis (western flower thrips), 360 nucleotides long. RefSeq lists it as uncharacterized. Lineage: Eukaryota; Metazoa; Arthropoda; Insecta; Thysanoptera; Thripidae. The transcript is spliced from 2 exons. The record is from RefSeq and is a predicted model, not a curated record.